GGAUUGCAGUCUGCAACUCGACUGCAUGAAGCUGGAAUCGCUAGUAAUCGCGGAUCAGAAUGCCGCGGUGAAUACGUUCCCGGGUCUUGUACACACCGCCCGUCACACCAUGGGAGUCGGAUAUGCCCGAAGUCAGUGACCCAACCGCAAGGAGGGAGCUGCCGAAGGUGGAGCCGAUGACUGGGGUGAAGUCGUAACAAGGUACC
This 206-nucleotide ribosomal RNA is filed under the name uncultured bacterium. Its description in RNAcentral is "partial 16S ribosomal RNA". It matches the Rfam family "Bacterial small subunit ribosomal RNA", at positions 1295 to 1500 of the family's 1533-position model. The record is from RNAcentral.